Molecule: long non-coding RNA, 900 nt
Filed under: Numida meleagris (helmeted guineafowl)
Lineage: Eukaryota; Metazoa; Chordata; Aves; Galliformes; Numididae
Description: lncRNA (ENSNMEG00000022123.1)
Source: RNAcentral
CUAAGAUUUACAAGAUUGGUGUGAUUCUAAUCAGCAGCAUACUGCUCAAGCACUGUUUAUGAGAACAUGUUGAUAUGGAAAAUAGGGCUGAAAAUAUUGUAAAAACACAUUCAGUCUGGUAUGGAAACAACUUCCAAGAAGUUAUUUUUGAACAAUUUCCACUUCUUGUCUUGUCCUUAAACAGGAAACAGUAAGAAUCAUAACAAUAACUAUGUUUAGGUUCUUAAGCUUUACAAAAUCUUGCAAGCAAGUUAAAGUCACUGGCACAAGUACUGGGAAAUUCUUAUUAAAUUCAGAUACAUUUUACCAUACUCAUUUUUUGCUUUCCUGACAAAGAACAACUGUAACUCCAAAGGUAUUUUCAUCAAAAAUACUUUUUAGAAAUCAAAGAUUACGUUCCUGUCUGUGACAAUGCUUUGACAGCAAAGGACUUCUAUCAGCUUUCCUCAGUUGGAGAAACUGGCUGAGAGCUCCUUGUUUAAUGAUUUCUUUAACAUUACUGAUGACAGGUUGUCCUUGUGAACCAUGCCAGGAACUUCUUAUCCUGUCUCUCUCCUCCCCUGCAGGUUUGAUACAUCUUACUAGAAGAAAGGUAGACACUGGAACCAUGAAAGACUUGAAGGAAUACAGUGACAUGAGAAACAACCAGGUUUUCCAGUCCUUACUAAUGGUUCCCCUAGAAGAGGACAGACCACAUCCAAUCCAUCAAUAUAAGGAAACUUUCAGGUGCAACAUCGGAUUGGUCCCAGAGUAGCAGCCUUUCUACAAACAACACUGAAUAGAGAGAAGGGAAGUUCAGAUUAAGAGAACACGGAUAUUUGCAUCUCAAUGACACUUUCUAUUGAACCACUUUAAAGCAUUGAUAUCCUGGUCUUACUUCCAUUGAAAUCAAUGGCAAAA